CGAAAGCCUGUCUCAGUUCGGAUUGGAGGCUGAAACCCGCCUCCAUGAAGUUGGAUUCGCUAGUAAUCGCGCAUCAGCCAUGGCGCGGUGAAUACGUUCCCGGGCCUUGUACACACCGCCCGUCAAGCCAUGGGAGCCGGGGGUGCCUGAAGUUCGUGACCGCAAGGAGCGACCUAGGGCAAAACUGGUGACUGGGGCUAAGUCGUAACAAGGUACC
Molecule: ribosomal RNA, 217 nt
Filed under: uncultured bacterium
Lineage: Bacteria
Description: partial 16S ribosomal RNA
Rfam family: Bacterial small subunit ribosomal RNA
Source: RNAcentral